GAUGAACGCUGGCGGCGUGCCUAAUACAUGCAAGUCGAGCGAACAGACGAGGAGCUUGCUCCUCUGACGUUAGCGGCGGACGGGUGAGUAACACGUGGAUAACCUACCUAUAAGACUGGGAUAACUUCGGGAAACCGGAGCUAAUACCGGAUAACAUGUUGAACCGCAUGGUUCAACAGUGAAAGACGGUUUUGCUGUCACUUAUAGAUGGAUCCGCGCCGCAUUAGCUAGUUGGUAAGGUAACGGCUUACCAAGGCAACGAUGCGUAGCCGACCUGAGAGGGUGAUCGGCCACACUGGAACUGAGACACGGUCCAGACUCCUACGGGAGGCAGCAGUAGGGAAUCUUCCGCAAUGGGCGAAAGCCUGACGGAGCAACGCCGCGGGAGUGAAGAAGGUCUUCGGAUCGUAAAACUCUGUUAUUAGGGAAGAACAAAUGUGUAAGUAACUAUGCACGUCUUGACGGUACCUAAUCAGAAAGCCACGGCUAACUACGUG
Molecule: ribosomal RNA, 497 nt
Filed under: uncultured bacterium
Lineage: Bacteria
Description: partial 16S ribosomal RNA
Rfam family: Bacterial small subunit ribosomal RNA
Source: RNAcentral